Molecule: long non-coding RNA, 228 nt
Organism: Labrus mixtus (cuckoo wrasse)
Lineage: Eukaryota; Metazoa; Chordata; Actinopteri; Labriformes; Labridae
Exons: 2
Source: RefSeq, a predicted model, not a curated record
CUUACUUUGUCUGACCACCUAUAAAAAAUAAUAAACAUGGAUAAACGAUUGUUCUCUGCACCCUGCAUAUGACAAAAGUAUACAUAUAAAGUACCUUGAUGUUUUGACACAACUUUGGCUGAAAAAAGUCUAAUUUCUAAUACUGGUCAAAGACAGGUCUUCCAUAUAAAUUUAAGAGUAAUUCCUUUGUCUUUUAAAGCUGACUAAAAGUGCCUGCCCAUGUAUUAA